AGCGAACGCUGGCGGCAGGCUUAACACAUGCAAGUCGAGCGCCCGUAGCAAUACGGGAGCGGCAGACGGGAGAGUAACACGUGGGAACAUGCCCUUCGGUUCGGAAUAACUCAGGGAAACUUGAGCUAAUACCGGAUACGUCCGUAAGGAGAAAGAUUUAUCGCCGAAGGAUUGGCCCGCGUCCGAUUAGCUUGUUGGUGAGGUAAUGGCUCACCAAGGCGACGAUCGGUAGCUGGUCUGAGAGGAUGAUCAGCCUCACUGGACUGAGACACGGCCCAGACUCCUACGGGAGGCA
RNAcentral lists this ribosomal RNA (295 nucleotides) under uncultured bacterium. RNAcentral's name for it is "partial 16S ribosomal RNA". It matches the Rfam family "Bacterial small subunit ribosomal RNA", at positions 29 to 350 of the family's 1533-position model. The record is from RNAcentral.